GGAGAGAGAUAGAGAGAGAGAGAGAGAGAGAGAGAGAGAGAGAGAGAGAGAGAGAGAGAGAGAGAGUCUGCUGGAGUCCACAGACCACCGGCCCUGGAGAAGAGUACUGCUCAGGGUCCUGGAGUGACCUGGAGAAGAUGGUUAGAGGAUAAACAGAAGAAAAGAGUCAGUCUUUGGAGAUUUGGGUUUUUCUUCUUUUCCUGCGCUCGAGCUGAGGGGUCUCUGUUCGGGCAGUGCUGGUGAGAUGACAGAGGUGGAACCGGUUCUAGACUUUGCCUCGUCCGGCAGGUCCGGACGCAGGAACGCUCUGCCAGACAUACUUGGUUCUCCGGCAGGGGUCAACCCUACAGACCUCCCUCUCAAACUGGCGGAGCUGUCCCUCACUGAUGGACCAGGUGGAGCUCAGUCCCCCACGUCUGAGGAAGCUCCACUGCCCUCAGAAAGCUCAGAAGUGAAGGAUGGAUAGUAGACUCCUCCUAAACCCUGCCCCAACAUGGGAGGCGCUGACGUACAGGAAGAAAUGGAAGAGCGAGAGAGGCAAAGGCAGAUGGAUAGAGAGAAGAAGAGAAGGAGAAACUGAGAAGCGGUAAUCCGAUUAGUCAGGAGCUGCGCUCCUCGGAUUGAGCUUUGGUACCAGCAAGCCUGUGCAGGCAUAGCGUUUGGCCUUUUCCACAUAUACACACAUACAUGAGCACACACACAUGCACAUAUAUAUAUACACACACACACACACACGCACGCACACCGAGGCCCGGACUUCAGAACGCCCUAAAGCAGAGGUGCUGAAAUCUACAGGAACGUAUGAAAAAGAGUCGUUGUGUGCAUCGCAAGUUUUCAUUGGACAUAAUGAAAGAAG
Astyanax mexicanus (Mexican tetra) is the source of this 856-nucleotide long non-coding RNA. RefSeq lists it as uncharacterized. NCBI's taxonomy places the organism in Eukaryota, Metazoa, Chordata, Actinopteri, Characiformes, Acestrorhamphidae. The transcript has 3 exons. The record is from RefSeq and is a predicted model, not a curated record.